RNAcentral lists this ribosomal RNA (1422 nucleotides) under Chionosphaera apobasidialis. RNAcentral's name for it is "eukaryotic LSU rRNA". It matches the Rfam family "Eukaryotic large subunit ribosomal RNA", at positions 51 to 1454 of the family's 3401-position model. The record is from RNAcentral. Lineage: Eukaryota; Fungi; Basidiomycota; Agaricostilbomycetes; Agaricostilbales; Chionosphaeraceae.
GGCAGGAAAAGAAACUAACCAGGAUUCCCCUAGUAACGGCGAGUGAAGCGGGAACUGCUCAGCUUUAAAAUCUGGCUCUUUCAGAGUCCGAGUUGUGAGCUUGAAGCGUUGCGUCCCCGACGGACCUUGGGUAUAUCAGCUGGAAAGCUGUCUCAGAGAGGGUGACAAGCCCGUUCAUACCAAGGACGCCCGUUGGAGUCUGGCGCAGCUGCUAUAGAGUCGAGUUGUUUGGGAAUGCAGCUCUAAUUGGGUGGUAAACUCCAUCUAAAGCUAAAUAUUGGCGGAAGACCGAUAGCGAACAAGUACCGUGAGGGAAAGAUGAAAAGCACUUUGGAAAGAGAAUGAAACAGUAUGUGAAAUUGCUGGAAGGGAAACGAUUGAGGUUAGACGUGCUUGGCGUGCCUUCAGCCCUUACGGGUGUACUGGCGCGCCGCAGCAGGCCAGCAUCGGUUUGUUGCGUCGGGUAAAAGGGUGGCAGGGACGUGGCUGUCUUCGGACAGUGUUAUAACCUGCCACUGGAUGCCCGGCGUCAGACCGAGGAUCGCAGGGCGCCUUCACAGGUCGCGUCCCCGGACGCUAAGCCCUUAGGAUGCUGGUAGAAUGGCCUUAACCGACCCGUCUUGAAACACGGACCAAGGAGUCUAACAUGCCUGCGAGUGUUUGAGUGUCAAACUCGAGCGCGGAAUGAAAGUGAAAACAGGAGGGAACCUUGUACGAGGUGCACCUUCGACCGGCGGGGUGGCUUGCUGCCCAGUCUGAGUAAGAGCAUGUAUGUUGGGACCCGAAAGAUGGUGAACUAUGCCUGAAUAGGGUGAAGCCAGAGGAAACUCUGGUGGAGGCUCGUAGCGGUUCUGACGUGCAAAUCGAUCGUCAAAUUUGGGUAUAGGGGCGAAAGACUAAUCGAACCAUCUAGUAGCUGGUUCCUGCCGAAGUUUCCCUCAGGAUAGCAGAAGCUCAAAUUAGUUCGAUGAGGUAAAGCGAAUGAUUAGCGGACUGGGGGGCGUCAUGCCCUUCACCGAUUCUCAAACUUUAAAUGUGUCGGAUGCCUUGGUGGCUUAAUUGCACCAUUGGCUUUUGAAUAAGAGUUUCUAGUGGGCCAUUUUUGGUAAGCAGAACUGGCGAUGCGGGAUGAACCGAACGUGGGGUUAAAGUGCCAGAGUAGCGGCUCAUCAGACACCACAAAAAGUGUGCUUGCAUCUAGACAGUUGGACGGUGGACAUGGAAGUCGUCACCCGCUAAGGAGUGUGUAACAACUCACCAAUCGAAUGCAAGUGCCUUGAAAAUGGAUGGCGCUAAGCCGCUCACUUAUACCCCACCCUUCGAGUAAGCUCAUGAGGCUCGAAGGAGUAGGCAGGCGUGGGGGUUUUGUAUCGAAGCGUUGGGCGUGAGCCUGCGUGGAACGGCCCCUAGUGCAGAUCUUGG